AACGAACGCUGGCGGCAUGCCUAACACAUGCAAGUCGAACGAGACCUUCGGGUCUAGUGGCGCACGGGUGCGUAACGCGUGGGAACCUGCCCUUAGGUUCGGCAUAACUCCCCGAAAGGGGUUCUAAUACCGGAUAAUAUCUUCGGACCAAAGAUUUAUCGCCUUUGGAUGGGCCCGCGUUGGAUUAGCUAGUUGGUAGGGUAAAAGCAUACCAAGGCGAGGAUCCAUAGCUGGUCUGAGAGGAUGAUCAGCCACGCUGGGACUGAGACACGGCCCCGACUCCUACGGGAGGCAGGAGUGGGGAAUAUUGGACAAUGGGCGAAAGCCUGAUCCAGCAAUGCCGCGUGAGUGAUGAAGGCCUUAGGGUUGUAAAGCUCUUUUAACCGGGAUGAUAAUGACAGUACCGGGAGAAUAAGCUCCGGCUAACUACGUG
This 433-nucleotide ribosomal RNA is filed under the name uncultured bacterium. Its description in RNAcentral is "partial 16S ribosomal RNA". It matches the Rfam family "Bacterial small subunit ribosomal RNA", at positions 29 to 507 of the family's 1533-position model. The record is from RNAcentral.